Molecule: non-coding RNA, 73 nt
Organism: Trichuris trichiura (human whipworm)
Lineage: Eukaryota; Metazoa; Nematoda; Enoplea; Trichinellida; Trichuridae
Source: Rfam
GGCCGCGUAGCGUAAUGGAUAACGCGUCUGACUUUGGAUCAGAAGAUUGCAGCUUCGAGUCUUGCCGCGGUCG